GGUUCCAUAGUGUAGCUGUUAGCACAUCUGCUUUACACGCAGAAGGUCCUGGGUUUACACCCCGGUGGAGCCA
Pteropus alecto (black flying fox) is the source of this 73-nucleotide non-coding RNA. Lineage: Eukaryota; Metazoa; Chordata; Mammalia; Chiroptera; Pteropodidae. The record is from Rfam.